CAGAAAACAGGUUAACAAUUAAGCUUAAUUGACCUCAGGGCCUCUGGCCCUUCUUGUUCCUAUAAAGCCGGGCUAAAUGGCUUCCUCCCCCAGCUUCUCCCGUUGGCUUUACAAGGGCCACAGGUGGCCGGGAGCAAGCGUCAGGGCAUUAACUGAGGGCCUACAGGGGGCCGCACACAACAAGAUGAGGAGGUUCCUGAGGCCUGGACACGACCCUGCGAGGGAGAGGCUCAAGAGGGACCUCUUCCAGUUUAACAAGACGGUGGAGCAUGGCUUCCCCCACCAGCCCAGCGCCCUCGGCUACAGCCCCUCCCUGCGCAUCCUGGCCAUCGGCACCCGCUCUGGGGCUGUCAAGCUCUAUGGUGCCCCAGGGGUGGAGUUCAUGGGCCUGCACCGCGAGAAUAACACCGUGGUGCAGAUCCACUUCCUGCCUGGCCAGUGCCAGCUGGUCACCCUGCUGGACGACAAUAGCCUGCACCUGUGGAGCCUGAAGGUCAAAGGCGGGGUGUCGGAGCUGCAGGAAGAUGAGGCGUUCACGCUGCGUGGCCCCCCGGGGGCUGCCCCCAGCGCCACGCAAAUCACCGUGGUCCUGCCACACUCCUCCCGCCAGCUGCUCUACCUGGGCACCGAAAGUGGCAACGUGUUUGCAGUGCAGCUGCCAGCCUUCCGCGCGCUGGAGGACCGGGCCAUCAGCUCGGACACUGUGCUGCAGCGGUUGCCAGAGGAGGCCCGCCACCGGCGGGCGUUUGAGAUGGUGGAGGCUCUGCAGGAACACCCCCGGGACCCCAGCCAGAUCCUCAUCGGCUACAGCCGGGGUCUCGUAGUCAUCUGGGACCUGCAGGGCAGCCGCGUGCUCGCUCAUUUCCUCAGCAGCCAGCAACUGGAAAACGUCUGCUGGCAGCGGGACAGCCGUCUGAUCGUCAGCUGCCAUUCUGACGGCAGCUACUGCCAAUGGCGCAUGUCCCCCGACGCCCCGCAGCCGGAGCCUGUGCGCAGCUGCGUGCCUUACGGUCCUUUUCCUUGCAAAGCUAUUACCAAAAUCUUCUGGCUGACCACCAAGCAGGGGUUGCCCUUCACCAUCUUCCAGGGCGGCAUGCCGCGGGCCAGCUACGGGGACCGCCACUGCAUCUCCGUGGUCCACAACGGCCAGCAGACAGCCUUCGACUUCACCUCCCGCGUCAUUGAUUUCACUGUCCUCGUCCAGGUGGACCCUGCAGCUGCCUUCGAUGACCCCUAUGCCCUAGUUGUGCUGGCCGAGGAGGAGCUGGUGGUGAUUGACCUACAGACGGCUGGUUGGCCGCCAGUCCAGCCUCCCUACCUGGCCUCCCUACACUGCUCUGCCAUCACCUGCUCCCACCAUGUCUCCAACAUCCCGCUGAAACUGUGGGAACGCAUCAUAGCAGCUGGCAGCCGGCAGAGCACACACUUCUCCCCCAUGGAGUGGCCCAUUGACGGCGGCACCAGCCUGGCCCCGGCCCCGCCGCAGAGGGACCUGCUGCUCACGGGGCAUGAGGACGGCACGGUGCGGUUCUGGGACGCCUCAGGCGUCUGCCUGCGGCUGCUCUAUAAGCUUAGCACCGUGCGGGUGUUCCUCACUGACACAGACCCCAACGAGAGCCUCAGUGCCCAGGGCGAGGAAGAGUGGCCACCCCUCCGCAAGGUGGGCUCCUUUGACCCUUAUAGUGACGAUCCCCGGCUGGGCAUCCAGAAGAUUUUCCUCUGCAAAUACAGCGGCUACCUGGCUGUGGCUGGCACAGCAGGGCAGGUGCUCGUGCUGGAGCUGAACGACGAGGAGGCGGAGCACGCGGUGGAGCAGGUGGAGGCCGACCUGCUGCGGGACCAGGAGGGCUACCGCUGGAAGGGCCACGAGCGGCUGUGUGCCCGCCCGGGGCCUGUGCACUUCGAGCCCGGCUUCCAGCCCUUCGUGCUGGUGCAGUGCCAGCCCCCGGCCGUGGUCACCUCCUUGGCCCUGCACUCCGAGUGGCGGCUCGUGGCCUUCGGCACCAGCCACGGCUUCGGCCUCUUUGACCACCAGCAGCGGCGGCAGGUCUUUGUCAAGUGCACGCUGCACCCCAGCGACCAGCUCGCCUUGGAGGGCCCGCUGUCCCGCGUGAAAUCCCUGAAGAAGUCCCUGCGCCAGUCCUUCCGCCGGAUCCGCCGCAGCCGGGCGUCCAGCAGGAAGCGGCGGCCCGCUGGCCCUCCGGGAGAGGUGCAGGAGGGGAGCAGCAGGGCAGAGCGGACCGGACUGCAGAACAUGGAGCUGGCGCCCGUUCAGCGCAAGAUCGAGGCGCGGUCAGCAGAGGACUCCUUCACGGGUUUCGUCCGGACCCUCUACUUCGCCGACACCUACCUGAGGGACAGUGAGUGGCUGGUCUGAAAUGGGGGGGCCCGGGCAGGCAUCCUCUGGCUUGAGGGUGUGUUGGAAGCUGCUGGCUGAUUUGCCCUUAAGAGGGUUGCUGCUUCCUGAGCUCGGGGAGAGCUGGAGCCCCCGCGCCUGCCUCUUUCCGCGGCCUGGGUCUCUGAGUCUGAUCGCCCUGGCUUCAUACCCAGGCCCCACCACACUCUAGAAGUGUGACCUUGGAUGUGUCACUUAGCCUUUCUGGGUCUUGCUUCUCCCCCUGUAAAAUGGGGGCGUGGCUUCCUCCUAGAGUGGUUGCAUGCAUUGGGACAUGCCACAUGCCUGCUGGUACCCAGGAGGCCCUCUGGAAGCUGUCUGACUGUGUCUCUUUUCCUGCCAGGGUAAGGGUGGGCCGAGGGCUGUUUGCUGCUGUAAUCUUGAGGGCUGAGCCAUCCUGGGCUUGGGAUCAUCUGCACGGGGCCCUUGGUUGUCAGGGAGCCUUGCAGGCCCUUCCUGUCUACAGCAGGACGUAGGCAGGGCCCACAGCAGCUCCAUUUCACAGAGGAAGAAAGUGAAGUUCACUGCCUUUACCUUGGAGUCACACAGGUUCCCGCCACUGCCCCUCGCUGUGGGCUGGCA
Non-coding RNA from Odocoileus virginianus texanus, 2977 nucleotides. The record is from RefSeq and is a predicted model, not a curated record. NCBI's taxonomy places the organism in Eukaryota, Metazoa, Chordata, Mammalia, Artiodactyla, Cervidae.